CCCACUGUCCCAGAGACAGGCACAGGACAUACCCGCAGUGCCACCAUGCCUGGAAGAUGGGUCUCUCAGAAGGUAGAAGAGGGUGACCAGGACUCGACAGCUCAGGGAGCACAGAACGCAGGAGAUCCCUUACGCUCACGCAUCACCUGGGACUCAACGCUCCCCCUCUGCAGGGUUCAUGUCACAGGAAGGAUCAGACAUGUGGGGACCUGAACAAUUCUUCUCUGUCUUCUCUUGGUGAGUUGCCCUUGGAUCUUCCGUUGCAGAAGGUACCUGUCUAGGUUAAGGGAAGUGACAGCUGGCAACCUCAGGCUGCUGUGAACUCUUGAGCCAAGUGACAGCUCCCUCUGCUGGCCCAGUAGCAAAGUCCUUAGGAGAACUCUGCUGCCCAGGCCCAUGUCACAUGCCCAUCCCUGUGACCAAGGAAGAAAGCCCUGGGGUUGCCAGCUCCUUCCAAACCACACAGAGAGGAAGGGAAGUGGCCCAAGGUUCCUCAGAAGGGAAGCUAAUGCCACCCCUCAGAAAGUCCAGAUGCCAAGUCCACAAGAGUAGCCGCUGCCAGCCAGCCUCCAAGACCUGCAGCUUCCGAGACUGAUCACCGCUUUAUCAAGCCCGAUCACUCGGAUCACCAGGAUGUCCAGGAGGAGAGACAGCAGCUUUCCUCAGAGGUGAGGAAUCGAGCCCCGAGAAAGCAAGGCGCCCAGCGCACCAGACAAUAAAAUCAGAAGAGGGACUUGCUAUUAGCGCCUCUAUCUCCAGCCUUUCCUUGCUGCUCUGAGCUCAGGUUCAAAAGGUGAGGUGUUACCACCACCUGAGCGGCCGCCACCACCAUCCACAUCUGUCCCCACAACCACACUUCACCAUCACCACCACCACCACCACUAAUCUUCAACCACUAUCAUCUCCUUCAUCAACAUUCCGCCAUUCGCCACUACAACCAGUACCCCACCAUCCAUGUCCCACUGUCAGUACCCGAUGACCAUGGUAUCAACGCACACCACCAUCCCCGUCAUCAGUCUCUUUAUUACUGUCCCACCACCUCUCCGCCCUCAAGGUCCCAUCACGACCACUACCACCAAAGUCUAGGCAUACUAGCACCACCACCAGCAUGGCUUCUCUCCUACAUCUAUCACUAGCACAACCCCAACACUGCCACACCUUCCCCGUGACCCUCACCGUUGAAAACAACCCCUAGGCUCACCAUCACCACCACACCAUCACCAUAGCAACAACAAAAACAUCACUACCUUCAUCCUCCAGGCAGCUCAUCAUGCCUGGAGCAGCCAUUCUUUGCUGGAGACAGAGCCAAGGAGCUGAGAAGAAGCAGUGGACUGAAUCACUUUCCAAAUGUGGCUCCUUUCCUGAAGGUCAAGCUUGAACUCAGCCUCUUUGUGGCUGGGACCCAGGAACCUGCUCACAGCAUUGAAAUGUCAUUCAGAGAUGGCCGAGCUGAUCUCAAAGGCCUACCGGGGUGUUCUGGGACAAAUACACAUGAGUCACUAAGGCUGACAUUUUUUGUGAUCUGACGAGGUUUCUCCCCUGGGGAUCUGCUCACUUGGCCUCCACAAACAGGCAGUGCAACUGUGGACACACACUCUGGUCAUCAAUGUGGGGCUGCAGGGAGCUGGUCUCUGGCCUCCUGUCUUCUGCCUUGUGACUCCCAGGCCACCCUGGGGUCUUCUUUCUGGGCCACAAACCUCAUCUCCUUCCUUCUUUUUCACUCUCAGAU
Molecule: long non-coding RNA, 1729 nt
Organism: Octodon degus (degu)
Lineage: Eukaryota; Metazoa; Chordata; Mammalia; Rodentia; Octodontidae
Exons: 3
Source: RefSeq, a predicted model, not a curated record